UUCCUCAUUUGAAACGCGUGUUUCUCUGUGCGCUUCUCUCCGCUCGGGGUUCCCGCUUGACGUUAACAUCCCGUCAUGCUGACCUUGCGUUCCGGGUUCGGGCGGUUCGUGAGGUUCGCAGCCUCACCCAUGGCCCCUCGGUUUGUCUGUCGAUGGGACAUGAGACGAUCUGUCAUGAAAAUCAGCUCAUCGAGCCUGGUCCACCACAAUGGACGUCUGAGCACGGGUUGUUCGCUCUUCCCUUCUGCCAGACCUCAUCUUCUCACCUCUCGGGUUUACUGCACACCACCUCAUCACCAGGUGACACUGUCCACCUUCAGUUUUCUUUCCUCUUCUCUUCAUUUCAUUUCUCCGUAUUUUCGUGAUCAAAACGGGCUUUUUCUUUUACUUAUCCUGCUGUGUUGUGGGCUCCCUCUCACUCUCCAUUCUCCUCCCUCUCCCCCUUCCAUUCUCCUCCCUCUCCCUUCCAUUCUCCUCCCUCUCUCCCUUCCAUUCUCCUCCCUCUCCCCCUUCCAUUCUCCUCCCUCUCCCUUCCAUUCUCCUCCCUCUCCCCAUUCCAUUCUCCUCCCUCUCCCCAUUCCAUUCUCCUCCCUCUCCCAUUCCAUUCUCCUCCCUCUCCCCUUCCAUUCUCCUCCCUCUCUCCUUCCAUUCCCCUCCCUCUCCCCUAUUCUCAGGUCAGGCCAGAUUAGAUCUGUGACCUGCUGCAGGUAUCAUAUAAACCUGUACUAACCUGUUUCAUGGUCGGAUUGGCAGCGACGAAACCGUCUCCCCCACCAAGUUUCCUGGUGAAGAGGAUGUUUGGAUAUGGACACCCAGCAAGAUUAAAAACAAAACCUGUCAAAAGGCAGAGGAGCUCCUCAUGAGCCCACGGCCAUCUAUUUCUGGUGCCCAACUGUCUGCGGACGUCCUCCUACAUUUGGGUUACCUUUUUUAGGAUGUUGGUGACGGGAUUUGCACUCCGGCCACAGUAAAACACUUCAUUCCGCAAAACACAUUAAAAAAAAAAACCGCAAAGUGAACCGAAAACCCACUCCAUGGGAGUACCUCCUGUGCUGCUGCCCUCUGCAGAGCAGCUCACUGGAUGAUAGGAUUGAGGAAAAUCCUUCGGGACCCCCAUUCUUUGAUGAUAGGAAAAGCAUGGGGUAACUUUCCUUGGUUAGAUUGCGCUGGUGUGUGUUGGGGUGGUGCUGAGGUGUCGUCCACCAUACGGCGAUCCCCUCAGGUUAACCUGAGGCGGUCCCUUCGAGUGGCUGCCUGGAAUGUCCUGUCCCUAUAGGAGGAUGAUCACCUGCUCUCUGCUAUCAUCUGAGCUCCAGCGUUUGAACAUCGGUAUUGCAGCACUCUUUGAGGAUUGGAGACCGAAUAGUGGUGAAAUCAUGGUGGGUGGUUACACCUACUAUUGGUCUGGUCGCUCUAAUGGUUACCAUACCCAAGGAGUUGCUGCAACUGUGUCCAAUAAGUUAACUCCCUAACACCAGUCAACGAGUGUAUUACGAGACUAAGGAUUCGUCAUUCCUUUGGUGUUGUUUCCUUGGUCUCUUUAUAUUGUUGUGGUUACCAAAUUCGCAAACCACCAUUCAGGUCCCUUAGGUGAGAUAUCUCGGUAAGUACAUGUGUAGUUAGGCCCAAACCCGUUGUCGAGUGGGAAUACAUGUCAUUUAUGCGUGCUGCGACUCUUCAGGAUAGCCGUUUUUCUUUUACUAUCUUUAAUUUGGACCAACCGCCAUUGUUACAACCACAACAUCAACCACCCACCGUGGCGCCGCUUCACGUCACACCUCGCAACCGUCGCAUCGCCACCGUUCUUGCGCCGCUUGUGGGUACCGGUGUUGGACUCGUGCAGGGCGCGCGCCGAACGGCGUGUACAAAAUCACGGAUUUUGUGCUUCAAAAACGGA
Eptatretus burgeri (inshore hagfish) is the source of this 1897-nucleotide long non-coding RNA. The record is from Ensembl. NCBI's taxonomy places the organism in Eukaryota, Metazoa, Chordata, Myxini, Myxiniformes, Myxinidae.